This is a non-coding RNA of Brassica rapa (field mustard), 125 nucleotides long. Lineage: Eukaryota; Viridiplantae; Streptophyta; Magnoliopsida; Brassicales; Brassicaceae. The record is from Rfam.
GGAAUAUAAGAAACUGUCUCUUAACUGUUAACUAAAAAAACUAAGAUUCGGCUCCUAAAUAAAAAAUUUAAGAACCGGUUCUUAACUUUUUUAGUUAAAAGUUAAGAGAUGGUUACUUAUAUUCU